CGGCGAUGUCCGAAUGGGGAAACCCAGUGCAAUUCGUUGCACUAUCGUUAACUGAAUACAUAGGUUAACGAGGCGAACCGGGGGAACUGAAACAUCUAAGUACCCCGAGGAAAAGAAAUCAACCGAGAUUCCCCCAGUAGCGGCGAGCGAACGGGGAGCAGCCCAGAGUCUGAAUCAGCUUGUGUGUUAGUGGAACGGUCUGGAAAGUCCGACGGUACAGGGUGAUAGUCCCGUACACCAAAAUGCACAGGCUGUGAACUCGAAGAGUAGGGCGGGACACGUGGUAUCCUGUCUGAAUAUGGGGGGACCAUCCUCCAAGGCUAAAUACUCCUGACUGACCGAUAGUGAACCAGUACCGUGAGGGAAAGGCGAAAAGAACCCCGGCGAGGGGAGUGAAAAAGAACCUGAAACCGUGUACGUACAAGCAGUGGGAGCACCUUCGGGUGUGACUGCGUACCUUUUGUAUAAUGGGUCAGCGACUUAUAUUCUGUAGCAAGGUUAACCGUAUAGGGGAGCCGCAGGGAAACCGAGUCUUAACUGGGCGUUAAGUUGCAGGGUAUAGACCCGAAACCCGGUGAUCUAGCCAUGGGCAGGUUGAAGGUUGGGUAACACUAACUGGAGGACCGAACCGACUAAUGUUGAAAAAUUAGCGGAUGACUUGUGGCUGGGGGUGAAAGGCCAAUCAAACCGGGAGAUAGCUGGUUCUCCCCGAAAGCUAUUUAGGUAGCGCCUCGUGA
This 737-nucleotide ribosomal RNA is filed under the name Klebsiella pneumoniae. Its description in RNAcentral is "bacterial LSU rRNA". It matches the Rfam family "Bacterial large subunit ribosomal RNA", at positions 105 to 887 of the family's 2925-position model. Lineage: Bacteria; Pseudomonadati; Pseudomonadota; Gammaproteobacteria; Enterobacterales; Enterobacteriaceae. The record is from RNAcentral.